GGGGCUGUAGCUCAGCUGGGAGAGCGCAUGACUGGCAGUCAUGAGGUCGUGGGUUCGAUCCCCAUCAGCUCCA
RNAcentral lists this transfer RNA (73 nucleotides) under Pseudomonadota bacterium. RNAcentral describes it as "Proteobacteria bacterium (activated sludge metagenome) tRNA-Ala". It matches the Rfam family "tRNA". Rfam says of the family: Transfer RNA (tRNA) molecules are approximately 80 nucleotides in length. Their secondary structure includes four short double-helical elements and three loops (D, anti-codon, and T loops). RNAcentral also lists the same sequence under 1 other name. Lineage: Bacteria; Pseudomonadati; Pseudomonadota. The record is from RNAcentral.